Molecule: long non-coding RNA, 491 nt
Filed under: Rosa chinensis
Lineage: Eukaryota; Viridiplantae; Streptophyta; Magnoliopsida; Rosales; Rosaceae
Description: sRNA RchiOBHm_Chr2g0146871
Source: RNAcentral
GACUAAGUCGAAAACUAAAUUAACAACAACAAUUAAAAAUGACGAAAAAUAAAAGAGAGAUAGAUUUUUGGGUGCUAGGGAUCACUCUCUAGCAAUUUCAAUGCAACGAACACAUUUUAAGCAAACAAACAUAUCUUCAUGAGAACCAAAUCCCGUACUUAAUGCCGGUCAAGGCCACUAAGCCGAAUUUCCUUAAGGGUAUUCACAUUUUCGGUUAGGACAAAUAUGAACUCUCUAACUCAUGAAUUAGUACCUUACUAGGGCUACCAAAACAUGAGCUAAAGGCGUAGAGCUCUAGAAAUUAGGGAUUUAAGCAUGCAAUAGUUACAACCUAAAAUGUAACGAUUACUUAGUUCUCUACCUAAUGCCGGUUAAGGCCACUAAGUCAAUUUCUCUAAUUUGGUAUCCAUUCUUCCGGUUAAGGCAAGAAUGAACUCUCUAAUCCUAAUCAUUAUGCCUUGUUAGGGCCACAACGUCUAGGAUUAAAGGCG